GGCCUACCAUNNUNGUAACGGGUAACGGGGUGUUAGGGCACGACACCGGAGUGGGAGCCUGAGAAACGGCUACCACAUCCAAGGAUGGCAGCAGGCGCGCAAAUUACCCAAUCCCGACACGGGGAGGUAGUGACAAUAAAUAACAAUGCGGGGUUCUUUCGGAUCUCGUAAUUGGAAUGAGUACAAUUUAAAUCUCUUAACGAGGAACAAUUGGAGGGCAAGUCUGGUGCCAGCAGCCGCGGUAAUUCCAGCUCCAAUAGCGUAUAUUAAAGUUGUUGCAGUUAAAAAGCUCGUAGUUGAAUUUCGGGAUCAAAUUGUCGGUCGUGCCUCGGUACGUACUGGCGUUAUUGGUUCCUCCCUUCUGAAGAACCGCGAUGUCAUUAAUUUGGUGUCGCGGGAAAUCAGGACUGUUACUUUGAAAAAAUUAGAGUGUUUAAAGCAGGCUCGCGCUUGAAUACAUUAGCAUGGAAUAAUGAAAUAGGACGUUUGAUUCUAUUUUGUUGGUUUCUAGGAUCGACGUAAUGAUUAAUAGGGAUAGUUGGGGGCAUUAGUAUUCAAUUGUCAGAGGUGAAAUUCUUGGAUUUAUUGAAGACUAACUACUGCGAAAGCAUUUGCCAAGGAUGUUUUCAUUAAUCAAGAACGAAAGUUAGGGGAUCGAAGACGAUCAGAUACCGUCGUAGUCUUAACCAUAAACUAUGCCGACUAGGGAUCGGAUGAUGUUAAUUUUUUAAUGACUCAUUCGGCGCCUUACGGGAAACCAAAGUGUUUGGGUUC
This 774-nucleotide ribosomal RNA is filed under the name uncultured Glomus. RNAcentral describes it as "SSU rRNA". It matches the Rfam family "Eukaryotic small subunit ribosomal RNA", at positions 338 to 1114 of the family's 1831-position model. Lineage: Eukaryota; Fungi; Glomeromycota; Glomeromycetes; Glomerales; Glomeraceae. The record is from RNAcentral.